Canis lupus familiaris (dog) is the source of this 148-nucleotide small nuclear RNA. RefSeq annotates it as U4 spliceosomal RNA. The transcript has a single exon. NCBI's taxonomy places the organism in Eukaryota, Metazoa, Chordata, Mammalia, Carnivora, Canidae. The record is from RefSeq and is a predicted model, not a curated record.
AGCUUUGCGCAGUGGCAGUAUCGUAGCCAAUGAGGUUUAUCCGAGGCGCGAUUAUUGCUAAUUGAAAACUUUUCCCAAAUGGGAAAGGAGACCAAAUAGUAUGUAUUUUCUAGAACUUUGUGAGUACCAGAUGAAAUGUGUGCUCAAA